UACGGAGGGGGCUAGCGUUGUUCGGAGUUACUGGGCGUAAAGCGCACGUAGGCGGAUGUGUCAGUCAGGGGUGAAAUCCCGGGGCUCAACCUCGGAACUGCCUUUGAUACAGCACGUCUCGAGUCCGGAAGAGGUGGGUGGAAUUCCUAGUGUAGAGGUGAAAUUCGUAGAUAUUAGGAAGAACACCGGUGGCGAAGGCGGCCCACUGGUCCGGUACUGACGCUGAGGUGCGAAAGCGUGGGGAGCAAACAGG
This 253-nucleotide ribosomal RNA is filed under the name uncultured bacterium. RNAcentral describes it as "partial 16S ribosomal RNA". It matches the Rfam family "Bacterial small subunit ribosomal RNA", at positions 524 to 776 of the family's 1533-position model. The record is from RNAcentral.